GAGGGUAUAGCUCAGUGGUAGAGCGCAUGCGUAGCAUGCAUGAGGUCCUGGGUUUGGCCCCCAGAACCUCU
This 71-nucleotide transfer RNA is filed under the name Camelus bactrianus (Bactrian camel). It matches the Rfam family "tRNA". Rfam says of the family: Transfer RNA (tRNA) molecules are approximately 80 nucleotides in length. RNAcentral also lists the same sequence under 1 other name. The record is from Rfam by way of RNAcentral. Lineage: Eukaryota; Metazoa; Chordata; Mammalia; Artiodactyla; Camelidae.